This 503-nucleotide ribosomal RNA is filed under the name uncultured bacterium. RNAcentral's name for it is "partial 16S ribosomal RNA". It matches the Rfam family "Bacterial small subunit ribosomal RNA", at positions 30 to 523 of the family's 1533-position model. The record is from RNAcentral.
AUUGAACGCUGGCGGCAGGCUUAACACAUGCAAGUCGAGCGGGGUGAUGGUGCUUGCACUAUCACUUAGCGGCGGACGGGUGAGUAAUGCUUAGGAAUCUGCCUAUUAGUGGGGGACAACAUCUCGAAAGGGAUGCUAAUACCGCAUACGUCCUACGGGAGAAAGCAGGGGAUCACUUGUGACCUUGCGCUAAUAGAUGAGCCUAAGUCGGAUUAGCUAGUUGGUGGGGUAAAGGCCUACCAAGGCGACGAUCUGUAGCGGGUCUGAGAGGAUGAUCCGCCCCACGGGGACUGAGACACGGCCCGGACUCCUACGGGAGGCAGCAGUGGGGAAUAUUGGACAAUGGGGGGAACCCUGAUCCAGCCAUGCCGCGUGUGUGGAGAAGGCCUUAUGGUUGUAAAGCACUUUAAGCGAGGAGGAGGCUCUUUUGGUUAAUACCCAAGAUGAGUGGACGUUACUCGCAGAAUAAGCACCGGCUAACUCUGUGCCAGCCGCCGCGGUAA